UGAGAUUUCUACCGGUUUGGACAGCUCAACAACGUUCCAAAUAGUGAACUCACUAAGACAAUCCAUUCACAUUCUCCAUGGAACAGCUGUCAUCUCUCUUCUCCAGCCAGCACCGGAGACUUAUGACCUUUUUGACGACAUUAUUCUCCUGUCAGAUGGCCACAUUGUGUACCAGGGUCCUCGUGAGAAUGUGCUUGAGUUUUUCAAAAACAUGGGCUUCAGGUGUCCUGAAAGAAAAGGUGUUGCCGACUUCUUGCAAGAAGUAACGUCCAAAAAAGAUCAGAGACAUUAUUGGGCACGUGAAGAUCAGGCUUACACUUAUGUCACAGCUGAGGAAUUUGCUAAGGCGUUUCAGUCAUUCCGUGUGGGACGGAGAAUAGGAGAUGAGAUUUCGACUCCAUUUGACAAGACCAAGAGUCACCCGGCUGCUUUGGCAACCAGGAAAUAUGGCGUUGGAAAAAUGGAUUUGUUUAAAGCUUGCUUCUCGAGAGAGUUGUUGCUUUUAAAGAGGAACUCAUUUGUGCACACCUUCAAGCUCGGUCAAUAUGCAAUUAUGGCAAUAGUUGCAACGACAGUCUUCUUGAGGACUGAGAUGCACAGAGAUUCAGUCAUCGAUGGAGGAAUUUAUUCAGGAGCUUUGUUCUUCAGUUUGGUCUUGGCCAUGUUUAAUGGUGUGGUAGAGCUGCCCUUGACAAUCACAAAACUUCCUGUCUUUUACAAGCAAAGGGAUUCCCUUUUCUAUUCUUCAUGGGCAUUUUCUCUUCCUCAUUGGAUCCUUAAGAUUCCCUUGACAAUCAUUGAAGUUGCUAUAUGGGUGUCGAUUACUUAUUAUGUCAUUGGAUUCGAUCCAAACGUUGGAAGGUUCUUUAGGCAGUUUCUUCUGCUUAUCAUUGUUAAGCAGAUGACUUCUGCACUGUUUCGGUUUAUUGCUGCAGCUGGAAGAGACAUGAUAUUUGCUGAAACCUUUGGAUCAUUUGCAUUACUUGUAGUUUUCAUAUCAGGUGGCUUUGUCCUAUCUCGAGAUAGAGUAAAGAAAUGGUGGAAAUGGGCUUAUUGGACAUCGCCAAUGAUGUAUGCGCAGAAUGCACUAGCAAUUAAUGAGUUCCUUGGGAAAAGUUGGAGCCAUAUUGUCCCAAACUCGAGUGAAGCACUAGGAGUUCAGAUUCUGAAGUCUCGUGGAUUUUUCAUAGAUGCAUAUUGGUAUUGGAUGGGAGUAGGAGCAUUGAUUGGAUUCACGUUAGUAUUGAACUUCUGCUACACUGUUGCUCUCACUUUCCUUGACCCAUUUGAUAAGCCUCGAGCUGUUAUAUCUCAAGAGUCUAAAAGUAAUGGACUCGAUGACAGAACUGGAGGAUCCAUUCAGUUGUCAUUCCAUGGAGAUAGUCACCAAGUCAAUGCAGGAUCUAUGAUAAUACGGGCGAUCGAUGAGGCCAACCAUGAUAAGAAGAAAGGCAUGGUUCUUCCAUUUGAGCCGCAUUCUAUCACCUUUGAUGAAAUUACAUACUCUGUUGACAUGCCACAGGAAAUGAAAAAUCAGGGUGUCCUUGAAGAUAAAUUGGUGCUUUUGAAGGGUGUGAGCGGUGCUUUCAGGCCAGGUAUUCUCACAGCUUUAAUGGGUGUUAGUGGUGCUGGU
This 1633-nucleotide unclassified non-coding RNA is filed under the name Hevea brasiliensis (rubber tree). Lineage: Eukaryota; Viridiplantae; Streptophyta; Magnoliopsida; Malpighiales; Euphorbiaceae. The record is from RNAcentral.